UUGGAAUAUUACUCAAGUCACAUGAUCAACAGGAAGUUGCAUCAUCUGAAUUUCCUGAAGAUCAUGGGAAAAAAAGAAAAACCUCCUCAGUUGAUCUGUCACUGAAGUCUGAAGAAAAGGAGUGAAAAUGACGACUAAAGAGCAUUCUAAACCAUGAGAAUACACACAGAGGACACAGAUGGAGGAGCAGCAGCAAGUCAAGCAAGCAGAGGAAAGUCUCAGGAGGCCAGACUGCUGCCCUGGUGAUAUAUUUUGCACCAGAGAGACUGAAGCCCUGGAAACUUAUUAAAGCCAGUGGGGUAUGACAGAUCUCCCCAUCUCUUUCAGUGCAGGCCAGUCUAAUUCAGUUCAUAAGAGCAGUGUGUAUCUGGUGUAUUGAUGGAUGAACAUAACAGUUUUGUGUACAUCUCUAUUUUUCUUUAUUUUUGUUUAUUCAAUAUACAGUAGAUAAGGUAGGACUUCACUUAAGGGCCACAUGACAACCACAUAAGUCCUUCAUAACAACUGGCAUAAAUAUUUAUUAGGGAUACAUCAAUACUAAUUUUGGGUAUUGUUCAAUAAACAUCUCAUUUAUUGGAAGAUUUAUUGUAAAAAUGCACUGAUACCAACACCUGAUACCAUGCCUAAGUAUCUGUACAGUUAUAUGCAACAGUUGUAUACAAAUAUAAACAUCUUGGGACCACACAGAUGCUGCAGGAAUGAGGCACAAAUUAACUCCCAGGGAUGAACAAACGUUGGUCUGAUAGGUUCAACUGAACCCCAAGACAGCAACAUAGGAACGGGCGAAGGAGUUAGAGGCAUCAGGUACAAAAGUAUGUAGAUCCACCAUUAAGAGAGUCCUACAUCUCCAUGGGCCUGAAAGGGUGUCGUGAAAGGAAGAAGCCCCUACUCUAAGUCCAACAUAAAAAGCCAGACUGAAGUUGGCAGGUGAUCACUAGCAUUUUGGAGCAGAAUUCUCUGGUCAGAUGAAACAAAAAAUUUUACUGUUUGGCCAUAAUGAUCAGUGCUACAGUAUGUAUGGAGGAAAAAGGGUGAGGCUUUUAAUUCAAAGAACAAUGUCCCAGCUGUGAAGCAUGGGGGUGGAAGCAUCAUGUAGUGAAGGUGUUUUGCUGGAAAAAGGACUGGUGUGCUUCAGAAAACAAAUGGCAUCAUGAGGAAGGAGGAUUAUUUAGAAAUACUGAAGCAAAACGUCAAGACAUCAUCCAGAAAGUUAAAACAUGGUCACAAAUGGGUCUUCCAGCAGGACAGUGAUCCUCCAGAGUCGUAACAAAAUGGCUUACAAGCAACAAAGUGAAAGUAGUGAAUUUGUAGUAGAAAAUCUGUGGAUGAAGCGAAAAAGCGUAUCCAAGAGAGAUGGUCCAUAAAUCUGGCUGAUUUAUACCAGUUCUUUCAGGAGGAAUGAGCAAAAAUUCUGCAUUGUGAGAAGCUUGUGGAAGGCUAAACCAAGCGUUUGAUUCAAGUUCAAGUAAUUAAAAAGGCAAUCCCACCAAAUAACAAAGUGUAUGUUAAAUUUGGAUCCACUGAAAAUCUGAUAUAGUAAAUAAAAGCUGAAAUAAAUCUGUCACUUAGCUAUUAUUUUGAAAUUACUUCUUAUGGAAAUAAAGUAGAUACCCUAAUUGACUCAACACAGGAAAUCUAUGGUAACAUAAAAUGUGUGGAGUUGAAAAAAAAAAAACCAUGGGUUUGAAUCUCUUUAGCCUAGAUGUAUGUAAACCUUUGGCCUCAACUGUAUCAAGAGGAGGAACGACAGCAUCUUCCUACAAUACAUGUAACCUGAUAAAAGGUUGGAAUAAGACUUUAUAAAUAUAUGUUGGUUGAUGAAGGGCUUAUGAAGGAUUCUUGUAGCCCUAAAAAAACGUGCCCUUAAGCAAAGCAGUGCUGAAAAUACUUUGCAUGCUGGCAGCAUGUAAAUUAAGGGCAAUGUGAUUUGGGUGGAUUUUAGGUCUGGUGGAUUUUAGGACGAAUCAAAGACUUAUCAAAACGAACACUUUCCGCUUGUGAACAUUUCAUGAACAGUGCAGCAGGGUUCAAAUGCCUGAAUGACUCAUCACAGAGAAAACUGGUAGAAAUGAUACAUUUUUAUCCCACAAAAACCAUGAUUGUUGUUAGAUGUUUAAGAAGUUAUAAUUCAACAUACUUUUCCAUGGCUAACAAGCUGAACGGUAGCUAAUAGGAAAAGCUGCUAUGAUCUUGUAGCCAUAACACAGAAAAACACACUUAAUGGUGCAGAAAAUACUUUAUAAACCAAAGAGACAGAAUAACUGAUUGCUCCUUCAUAAUUUCGUGCAGAUCACCAGCGGUAACUGGUUUUAAAGUUAGCGUUAGCAUUAGCUGUCCACCAAAGUACUAACCUUACCUUAAUCAACUGG
This is a long non-coding RNA of Pangasianodon hypophthalmus (striped catfish), 2369 nucleotides long. RefSeq lists it as uncharacterized. The transcript is spliced from 4 exons. The record is from RefSeq and is a predicted model, not a curated record. NCBI's taxonomy places the organism in Eukaryota, Metazoa, Chordata, Actinopteri, Siluriformes, Pangasiidae.